Molecule: long non-coding RNA, 318 nt
Organism: Cynoglossus semilaevis (tongue sole)
Lineage: Eukaryota; Metazoa; Chordata; Actinopteri; Pleuronectiformes; Cynoglossidae
Exons: 3
Source: RefSeq, a predicted model, not a curated record
AGACAGUGGAGUCUGCGCUCAGGGGCAAAGGCAUCGGGUGGCCUACGAUCACCUGCCCGGCACAGACCAGCUGUCCUUCUUCUACUUCCUCAUCUUCAUUAUACAGCCACAGACUGUCAUUAUCUACACACAGCCAAAAGGUUGUUUGCUACGUAUAUCUUUCCUUUUUAACUUGAGUUCUGUGGAACAACUGUACCUGUGACAGUGAGGAAGACGCUUUCACUCUGAGGAGAAGAAAAGUUCUGGCUGAAGAUGGAGUUGUGGUAAACACAGGUGUAGUUGCCCUGGUGGAGCAGUUCUGCUGUGGGGAACUUGAAG